UACGCAGGGGGCUAGCGUUGCUCGGAUUGACUGGGCGUAAAGGGCGCGUAGGCGGUUCGUACAGUCAGACGUGAAAUUCCUGGGCUCAACCUGGGGGCUGCGUUUGAUACGUGCGGACUUGAGUGCGGAAGAGGGUCGUGGAAUUCCCAGUGUAGAGGUGAAAUUCGUAGAUAUUGGGAAGAACACCGGUGGCGAAGGCGGCGCUCUGGACCGAGACUGACGCUGAGGCGCGAAAGCGUGGGGAGCAAACAGG
Molecule: ribosomal RNA, 253 nt
Filed under: uncultured bacterium
Lineage: Bacteria
Description: partial 16S ribosomal RNA
Rfam family: Bacterial small subunit ribosomal RNA
Source: RNAcentral